ACCAGGGUGUUAUAGUGGUUUGAAUGUUGGACUAGAACUCCAAGAAACCAAGGUUUGAGUCCUCGCUCAGUCA
Phrynosoma platyrhinos (Desert horned lizard) is the source of this 73-nucleotide non-coding RNA. The record is from the annotation of a GenBank genome assembly. Lineage: Eukaryota; Metazoa; Chordata; Lepidosauria; Squamata; Phrynosomatidae.